Molecule: non-coding RNA, 258 nt
Organism: Pelobates cultripes (western spadefoot toad)
Lineage: Eukaryota; Metazoa; Chordata; Amphibia; Anura; Pelobatidae
Source: the annotation of a GenBank genome assembly
GCUAAGCCGUAGUCCUGAUAGUUUUCACAAUAUGACCAUUUGUUUGCAACUAACGCCGUCCAUUGACAUUCAUUGAAACUUCACUCUGCAAAGCUCACAUUUGAAGGGCAAUUUCUAAACUGCGACUGUGCCUUCAUUUUUAAUACUUCAGAGACAUACUAUGCAUCAAAAUGUAGGUCUGGGUCUUGUGAUUCUCACAAUAUAAAGCUCUUCACUGUAGGAUUUAUAGUUUUUAAGAUACGACCGUUUGAAGAUGGC